GAUUAAAGUGCCUAGUUUCUGAUUAAUGAGUAGAAAAUGAAAAGUGGGGAAAGAAGCAUAAUUGUUUAAGGUUUUAAGUUUAUGUAUGUGCCAUAUUUAUGUAAUACUAGUUACAAAAUAGAUUCAGAAUCUUUAUGCUAGUUGCAUGUGCUGUAUUCCAUAAUGUGUAGGUUACAGCAUUAAACAAUAUGAAAUAUUGCUGUAAUAUUUUUUGAGUAUGUAGCUCCUGGAUUUUUCUUACAUGUAUUCUUAAUUUAACACUUGACUGUUCAUAAUUCUUAUUAUUAAUAGAGGAAUAUCUUUAGAUAUAUCAAAGCUAAAAAUUCCAUUAUAUAGUAUUUUGCAUUUCAUUUUUUAAUUUAAAUUUUGUAUUUUGGUUUCUUGUUGAGGUACCAGUGACUUCGAAUGAUUCACACAUAUACAUAUGUCUGCACAUACCCAUCCCUAGUAUUGUGUAAGCAAGAUAGUUAUUGCUUGGGUUAAUUUUCCUGUUUGAAGGACUGAAAGUUUUAAGCUGUGGUUUUAUAAACAAAGCUAUAAGUAAACUUAAUUACUUUUUUAUUUGAGUGGAAUAUUGUUUGAAAUCUGUUUCAAAGAAUUGCACUAUUUAAUAAUGCUGCUAGUACAUGAAACAACUCUGGGGAAUUUAUUUCAUCAGAUAAAAUGAGUGGCUUU
This 675-nucleotide long non-coding RNA is filed under the name Bos taurus (domestic cattle). RNAcentral's name for it is "long non-coding RNA NONBTAT018572". The record is from RNAcentral. Lineage: Eukaryota; Metazoa; Chordata; Mammalia; Artiodactyla; Bovidae.